This 220-nucleotide ribosomal RNA is filed under the name Salmonella enterica subsp. enterica serovar Ohio. RNAcentral's name for it is "partial 23S ribosomal RNA". It matches the Rfam family "Bacterial large subunit ribosomal RNA", at positions 2723 to 2925 of the family's 2925-position model. The record is from RNAcentral. Lineage: Bacteria; Pseudomonadati; Pseudomonadota; Gammaproteobacteria; Enterobacterales; Enterobacteriaceae.
GUCAUGCCAAUGGCACUGCCCGGUAGCUAAAUGCGGAAGAGAUAAGUGCUGAAAGCAUCUAAGCACGAAACUUGCCCCGAGAUGAGUUCUCCCUGAGACUUUAGAUCUCCUGAAGGAACGUUGAAGACGACGACGUUGAUAGGCCGGGUGUGUAAGCGCAGCGAUGCGUUGAGCUAACCGGUACUAAUGAACCGUGAGGCUUAACCUUACAACGCCGAAG